AGUGAACGCUGGCGGUAGGCCUAACACAUGCAAGUCGAACGGCAGCACAGUAAGAGCUUGCUCUUACGGGUGGCGAGUGGCGGACGGGUGAGGAAUACAUCGGAAUCUACUUUUUCGUGGGGGAUAACGUAGGGAAACUUACGCUAAUACCGCAUACGACCUACGGGUGAAAGCAGGGGAUCUUCGGACCUUGCGCGAUUGAAUGAGCCGAUGUCGGAUUAGCCAGUUGGCGGGGUAAAGGCCCACCAAGGCGACGAUCCGUAGCUGGUCUGAGAGGAUGAUCAGCCACACUGGAACUGAGACACGGUCCAGACUCCUACGGGAGGCAGCAGUGGGGAAUAUUGGACAAUGGGCGCAAGCCUGAUCCAGCCAUACCGCGUGGGUGAAGAAGGCCUUCGGGCUGUAAAGCCCUUUUGUUGGGAAAGAAAAGCAGCAGGUUAAUACCCCGCUGUUCUGACGGUACCCAAAGAAUAAGCACCGGCUAACUUCGUG
This 492-nucleotide ribosomal RNA is filed under the name uncultured bacterium. RNAcentral's name for it is "partial 16S ribosomal RNA". It matches the Rfam family "Bacterial small subunit ribosomal RNA", at positions 29 to 507 of the family's 1533-position model. The record is from RNAcentral.